CGGAAAGCGCGCGCCAGCUGCACGCAGGGAAACAGUUCUCAUUUUGUGUGCUCGGCUGACUGCACGUCCAGCCUCGGGCCAGCUCGAGACGGCCACAUUGUGAGUCUGUGGGAGGGGUUCUACCGAGACGAAUGGACUUUUCUGAGGCAGGGCCCAGGAGCUGUAAUUCGAGGGGCCUCAGAUCUCCCUGCCACCCACCUGCCAGGGCCUGGUUGAAGAUGGCUGAGCGUAAAACAGAAUGCAAGUCAGCUGGAGCACGUACUACUGGAGGCAGAGCCCCAUGAGAAGGGGCCAAGAACCCGCACCCAUCAAAAUCAAGAAGAAAGGCUGAACCCGGAGAGAAAAGGGAGCAACUGAUGUUGCCAUGCAGAUCCCUUGGUUGCUAUGAGAUGGUAACAUCACUCUGCCCCACCAUUGGCCAGUGCCUCCUCAGCUGCGGUGCCUCCCAGGCUGUGUGGUUCUCACGCGGGCCACUGACACAGAGCUGUUACUAUGGUGAACUUUACAAUUUCCUUUGAUUGGUGGAUUUCAGAAAUAGGCCAUCAGCGGAAUUCAUUAUAUUCAGCUAAGUAAAAAUGAAAAAUAAAUACUAUAACUUUCCCCUCAUCACUAACAUGAAGGAAACGUGACCCUUCAUGACAUAAUAAAUCGCUGUUCGGUAACUUAGGAUCCUUCAGGGGACUGAAGCGGGAUGAUCCUCCUAUGCCAAAUUUGGGUGGGAAAGAUAUUCCCUGUAGCUUUGAGUCGACUCUUCAGAGUUAAGGGCAGUGGGCCAACCAGAGUUGGAACUUCAGAGUUGGGAGGAGGUGUGGGAUGGGGCAUGCAUUGAAAUGUAAACUCUAUUGUCUCUGAAGUGAUGGGUGAUGCUGGGGGCCUGAGUGUGGAGGGCAGUUUUACAUCUCAGGACAAUGUUUUCUCAGAUGCUCUUCCAGAAAGAAAAGCCAGGAGUACUCCUGGCUGGAGGCGGCAUGCCUGAGGUCAGAGUCAAAGUAGGGUUUGUGCUGUCUGAAUCCUUUCUCCCACUCUCCCCAGCCUGGCUCAGCUUCUCAGCUUCUCAGGUGGAUUGGCCUCUGAGCCCAAGCCAAGCCAUCGCAUCCCCUGUGACUUGCCCGUAUAUAUGCCCAGAUGGCCUGAAGUAACUGAAGAAUCACAAAAGAAGUGAAUAUGCCUUGCCCCACCUUGACUGAUGACAUUCCACCACAAAAGAAGUGUAAAUGGCCGGUCCUUGCCUUAACUGAUGACAUUACCUUGUGAAAGUCCUUUUCCUGGCUCAUCCUGGCUCAAAAAGCACCCCCACUGAGCAUCUUGCGACUCCCACUCCUGCCCACUGAGCACCUUGUGACCCCCACUCCUGCCUGCCAGAGAACAAACCCCCUUUGACUGUAAUUUUCCUUUACCUACCCAAAUCCUAUAAAACGGCUCCACCCUUAUCUCCUUUUGCUGACUCUCUUUUCUGACUCAGCCCGCCUGCACCCAGGAGAUUAAAAGCUUUAUUGCUCACACAAA
This 1506-nucleotide long non-coding RNA is filed under the name Homo sapiens (human). RNAcentral describes it as "novel transcript, antisense to PELI1". The record is from RNAcentral. Lineage: Eukaryota; Metazoa; Chordata; Mammalia; Primates; Hominidae.